CGUUCAAUACUCUACAACGUACCUUUGUAUUCGAAAAUGCUUUUUAAAUGUUUAUUUUUUAUAAUUCUGAUAAUUAGUACACACAGUCGUUUUGUCAGAACAAACUAUCAGCCACACGAUCUUGAAGAAAUAUAUUUUGAGAAAAAUUUUGAAUCUGUGAAGCCUGUGUAUUUAAAGAAAGUAUCAAGAAAUAAUCAGCGUUAAUUAAAAUAAGAAAUGGGAAUAUUUAUCAAGGGCAACGCAACAUGGAUUGCAGCUUAAUGUUAAAACAGUUUAAUUAUCGUAUAGUUUUAUUUAUUGUUACAAACCAAGUGUUUUAAAUAGUUAUUUUCAUAGAAUAGAAUAUAUUUUAACCUUCUAUUGAUAACUCGCAUAAUUUUCUACGCGAACAGACUGUAUAACGCUUGAAAGAAAGAAAAUGAUUGCAAUAUGGAAAAACUAAGAGAUGAAAAACAAAGGUGUUUUAUUACAAUAGCAGCGAGUUUAUAUUGUUUAUUUUAUACUUUUUUGUGGAUUAAAUAUAGCACAGGCUUAAUUUAUUUAAAUAAAAACUAAACAUAACAACCAA
Long non-coding RNA from Pieris napi, 568 nucleotides. RefSeq lists it as uncharacterized. The transcript is spliced from 2 exons. Lineage: Eukaryota; Metazoa; Arthropoda; Insecta; Lepidoptera; Pieridae. The record is from RefSeq and is a predicted model, not a curated record.